AUGCCUCUAAGUCGUGCUUCGAAACGUGGGAGAUAUAGCCGCAUCGAGGGCGUUACAGUUGCGCUGAACACGGCGUUUGUGGCGCUACUUCCAAAGAAAGAGGGUGCAGCGAGAAUAACUGACUUUCGGCCGAUCAUUUUGAUACAUUCUUUUGCCAAGCUGGUGACCAAGGUUUUGUCAAUUAGACUGACAAAAGUGAUACACACAAUUGUCUCACCAGCGCAAUCGGCCUUCAUGAAGAAGAGGUGCAUCCAGGAUAGCUUCCUGUACGUGAAAAAUGGAGUACGAGCGUUGCACAGAAGCAGAACACCGUCGUUGCUGUUGAAGCUGGAUAUAUCAAAGGCGUUUGACAGUGUUUCCUGGGAUUACCUGCUGGAGCUGUUACAAGAGAUGGGCUUCAACGCUAGGUGGAGGGAUUGGGUGGCAUGGUUGCUUUCGACGUCGAGCUCUCAGUUCCUCCUAAACGGAAUGGCAAGGAGCAGGAUCAGGCACAGGAAAGGGCUCCGUCAGGGAGAUCCGUAG
Molecule: ribosomal RNA, 522 nt
Filed under: Triticum aestivum (bread wheat)
Lineage: Eukaryota; Viridiplantae; Streptophyta; Magnoliopsida; Poales; Poaceae
Description: partial small subunit ribosomal RNA
Source: RNAcentral